RNAcentral lists this ribosomal RNA (48 nucleotides) under Aesculus flava (yellow buckeye). The record is from RNAcentral. Lineage: Eukaryota; Viridiplantae; Streptophyta; Magnoliopsida; Sapindales; Sapindaceae.
GGGUGCGAGGGUUGACGGGUGCGAUUAUACCAGCACUAAUGCACCGGA